UGGGAAUUUGGACAAUGGGCGAAGCCUGAUCCAGCAAUGCCGCGUGUGUGAAGAAGGCCUUCGGGUUGUAAAGCACUUUUGUCCGGAAAGAAAUCCUUGGCUCUAAUACAGUCGGGGGAUGACGGUACCGGAAGAAUAAGCACCGGCUAACUACGUGCCAGCAGCCGCGGUAAUACGUAGGGUGCAAGCGUUAAUCGGAAUUACUGGGCGUAAAGCGUGCGCAGGCGGUUUGCUAAGACCGAUGUGAAAUCCCCGGGCUCAACCUGGGAACUGCAUUGGUGACUGGCAGGCUAGAGUAUGGCAGAGGGGGGUAGAAUUCCACGUGUAGCAGUGAAAUGCGUAGAGAUGUGGAGGAAUACCGAUGGCGAAGGCAGCCCCCUGGGCCAAUACUGACGCUCAUGCACGAAAGCGUGGGGAGCAAACAGGAUUAGAUACCCUGGUAGUCCACGCCCUAAA
This 456-nucleotide ribosomal RNA is filed under the name uncultured bacterium. RNAcentral's name for it is "partial 16S ribosomal RNA". It matches the Rfam family "Bacterial small subunit ribosomal RNA", at positions 357 to 806 of the family's 1533-position model. The record is from RNAcentral.